RNAcentral lists this ribosomal RNA (497 nucleotides) under uncultured bacterium. Its description in RNAcentral is "partial 16S ribosomal RNA". It matches the Rfam family "Bacterial small subunit ribosomal RNA", at positions 28 to 507 of the family's 1533-position model. The record is from RNAcentral.
GAUGAACGCUGGCGGCGUGCCUAAUACAUGCAAGUCGAGCGAACAGACGAGGAGCUUGCUCCUCUGACGUUAGCGGCGGACGGGUGAGUAACACGUGGAUAACCUACCUAUAAGACUGGGAUAACUUCGGGAAACCGGAGCUAAUACCGGAUAAUAUAUUGAACCGCAUGGUUCAAUAGUGAAAGACGGUUUUGCUGUCACUUAUAGAUGGAUCCGCGCCGCAUUAGCUAGUUGGUAAGGUAACGGCUUACCAAGGCGACGAUGCGUAGCCGACCUGAGAGGGGGAUCGGCCACACUGGAACUGAGACACGGUCCAGACUCCUACGGGAGGCAGCAGUAGGGAAUCUUCCGCAAUGGGCGAAAGCCUGACGGAGCAACGCCGCGUGAGUGAUGAAGGUCUUCGGAUCGUAAAACUCUGUUAUUAGGGAAGAACAAAUGUGUAAGUAACUAUGCACGUCUUGACGGUACCUAAUCAGAAAGCCACGGCUAACUACGCG